Molecule: non-coding RNA, 227 nt
Organism: Chiloscyllium plagiosum (whitespotted bambooshark)
Lineage: Eukaryota; Metazoa; Chordata; Chondrichthyes; Orectolobiformes; Hemiscylliidae
Source: RefSeq, a predicted model, not a curated record
CUGUAUUGCACACAACUGUCAGCCUAGAUUAUAUGCGAAACCUCUGGAGUGGAACUGGAAUCCUUCUUCUGACUCAUUUACGCAUAAGAUACUGGUGCAAAAAUAACAGCACGAAAACGAGGAGCUACAAGUUCAGAAGCAUUUGAGAUCCCACCUUUACUGAAAACAAGAAUGCUGUUGACGAGAGCAAGAAUUUUAAUAUGUUGGAUGAACUUACAAAAUACGGC